This 441-nucleotide ribosomal RNA is filed under the name Eurymetra sp. 1957. RNAcentral's name for it is "partial large subunit ribosomal RNA". Lineage: Eukaryota; Metazoa; Arthropoda; Insecta; Hemiptera; Gerridae. The record is from RNAcentral.
GGUCUUUUGUAUUUUAUAUAAGAUCGGACCUGCCCAUUGAUUAAAAAUAUUAAAAGGCUGCGGUAUUUUAACUGUACGAAGGUAGCAUAAUCAUUUGUCUUUUAAUUGAAGGCUAGAAUGAAUGGUUUGAUGAAAUAUAAUCUUUCUUUUUAUAAUUAUUUUGAAUUUAAUUUUUUAGUUAAAAAGCUGAAAUUUUUUUAUAAGACGAGAAGACCCUAUAGAAGUUUACUAUUUUUAUAUAAUAUUAUUUUUUGUUUUAUGGAAUAAAUUUAUAGAAAAAUUAGUUUUGUUGGGGUGACAUUAAAAUUUAUUUAACUUUUAAUUUUUAUUUUCAUUAAUUUAUGUUUUUUUGAUCCAAAAUUUUUGAUUAUAAGAUUAACUUACCUUAGGGAUAACAGCGUAAUUUUUUCGGAGAGUUCUUAUUUAUGGAAAAGUUUGCGA